Molecule: long non-coding RNA, 506 nt
Filed under: Microcebus murinus (gray mouse lemur)
Lineage: Eukaryota; Metazoa; Chordata; Mammalia; Primates; Cheirogaleidae
Description: lncRNA (ENSMICG00000048742.1)
Source: RNAcentral
GAGAGCUACAGCUGCCUGCUGUGAACCUCCAUCCUCAUCCAGGCCACUCUCUGGGCAGCCUCCCCUAGAAACCCUGUCCCAAGUCCCCAGGCGAAGCGGAAAAAUACCUGUUUCUACAGACUGCUCAGGAAUUAGGUCGUGAAAUGAAUUUUGGAGAGCAACCGCAUGUGGGAGGCGGGCAUCACGCAGAGAUGGAAGCCCAGAGAGAUGGACCGAUCUGCUGUCGGAGUGAGAGGCAAGCUGCUGCUGGGACAGGCCCUCGUGCAAGAUCAUGCGGCCAGCCUGGCCGGCCUAGCAGGUAUGAUGAUCAGAUCCAAGAUUGGGUCACCCCCUUAUUGGACCUCUCACCUCCCCACCGUGACCACAUGUCUUCAAGCCAACUUGCCAGGAAGCUAGCCCCGGUGCGUGCCCCAUCCCUCCGUGACUCCACCUGCCCUGCCCUCCUGCAAGAGAUCCCAGCCCAAGGUUGGCCCUGGGGACAGGCCAUGACAAGCAGGGGGUCAGAG